RNAcentral lists this long non-coding RNA (311 nucleotides) under Eucalyptus grandis. RNAcentral describes it as "long non-coding RNA (EGRA_LNC001333)". Lineage: Eukaryota; Viridiplantae; Streptophyta; Magnoliopsida; Myrtales; Myrtaceae. The record is from RNAcentral.
UCCAUCUUCUCCACGAACUCGUCCGUGAACCCGAUUCGGCUCACAUCCAAGGAAAAGCCCUAGCUCGCCAGUCCACGUACCUCGUCCACAGCGAGCGGGAAUCCUUCUCCAGCCCUCUAGCCCGCGCCUCUCCUUCUUCGCCGCGCCGUCGGCCCUGCCCAGGUCCACCGAGAUCUCCCUCGCAAUCGAUCGGGCCAGCGACAGGGACAGCACCAAGUCGACGGCGGGGGAGCCUGGCGUCGCUCGGGAACGAGACCGAGGCCGCCUCCCUCCUGCCGGAGGCCGAUGGCUUCGCGGCGGAGGCCGGCGGC